RNAcentral lists this ribosomal RNA (330 nucleotides) under uncultured eukaryote. RNAcentral's name for it is "partial 18S ribosomal RNA". It matches the Rfam family "Eukaryotic small subunit ribosomal RNA", at positions 1470 to 1796 of the family's 1831-position model. The record is from RNAcentral.
CCCUUAGAUGUUCGGGGCCGCACGCGCGCUACACUGAAGGAAUCAGCACGUCUUUCUCCUUGUCCGAAAGGACUGGGUAACCCGCUGAACCUCCUUCGUGCUAGGGAUUGGGGCUUGUAAUUCUUCCCCAUGAACGAGGAAUUCCCAGUAAGCGCGAGUCAUAAGCUCGCGUUGAUUACGUCCCUGCCCUUUGUACACACCGCCCGUCGCUAAUACCGAUUGGAUGGUUUAGUGAGAUCCUCGGAUUGGUCCCGGAGCGGCCUCUGGUCGUGCCGGAGUGCCGAAAAGAAUGUCGAACUUGAUCAUCUAGAGGAAGUAAAAGUCGUAACA